AGAGUUUGAUCAUGGCUCAGAACGAACGCUGGCGGCAGGCUUAACACAUGCAAGUCGAGCGCCUCGCAAGAGGAGCGGCAGACGGGUGAGUAACGCGUGGGAAUCUACCCAUCUCUACGGAACAACUCCGGGAAACUGGAGCUAAUACCGUAUACGUCCUUCGGGAGAAAGAUUUAUCGGAGAUGGAUGAGCCCGCGUUGGAUUAGCUAGUUGGUGGGGUAAUGGCCUGCCAAGGCGACGAUCCAUAGCUGGUCUGAGAGGAUGAUCAGCCACAUUGGGACUGAGACACGGCCCAAACUCCUACGGGAGGCAGCAGUGGGGAAUAUUGGACAAUGGGCGAAAGCCUGAUCCAGCCAUGCCGCGUGAGUGAUGAAGGCCCUAGGGUUGUAAAGCUCUUUCAACGGUGAAGAUAAUGACGGUAACCGUAGAAGAAGCCCCGGCUAACUUCGUGCCAGCAGCCGCGGUAAUACGAAGGGGGCUAGCGUUGUUCGGAAUUACUGGGCGUAAAGCGCACGUAGGCGGAUUGUUAAGUUAGGGGUGAAAUCCCGGGGCUCAACCCCGGAACUGCCUUUAAUACUAGCAAUCUCGAGUCCGAGAGAGGUGAGUGGAAUUCCGAGUGUAGAGGUGAAAUUCGUAGAUAUUCGGAGGAACACCAGUGGCGAAGGCGGCUCACUGGCUCGGUACUGACGCUGAGGUGCGAAAGCGUGGGGAGCAAACAGGAUUAGAUACCCUAGUAGUCC
RNAcentral lists this ribosomal RNA (740 nucleotides) under uncultured bacterium. RNAcentral's name for it is "bacterial SSU rRNA". It matches the Rfam family "Bacterial small subunit ribosomal RNA", at positions 8 to 796 of the family's 1533-position model. The record is from RNAcentral.